Molecule: ribosomal RNA, 500 nt
Filed under: uncultured bacterium
Lineage: Bacteria
Description: partial 16S ribosomal RNA
Rfam family: Bacterial small subunit ribosomal RNA
Source: RNAcentral
AUUGAACGCUGGCGGCAUGCCUUACACAUGCAAGUCGAACGGCAGCACGGGAGCAAUCCUGGUGGCGAGUGGCGAACGGGUGAGUAAAGUAUCGGAACGUGCCCAGUCGUGGGGGAUAACGUAGCGAAAGUUACGCUAAUACCGCAUACGAUCUAUGGAUGAAAGCGGGGGAUCGCAAGACCUUGCGCGAUUGGAGCGGCCGAUAUCAGAUUAGGUAGUUGGUGGGGUAAAGGCUCACCAAGCCGACGAUCUGUAGCUGGUCUGAGAGGACGACCAGCCACACUGGGACUGAGACACGGCCCAGACUCCUACGGGAGGCAGCAGUGGGGAAUUUUGGACAAUGGGCGAAAGCCUGAUCCAGCCAUGCCGCGUGCAGGAUGAAGGCCUUCGGGUUGUAAACUGCUUUUGUACGGAACGAAAGGGUUUGGCCUAAUAAGCUGAGCUCAUGACGGUACCGUAAGAAUAAGCACCGGCUAACUACGUGCCAGCCGCCGCGGUAA